This 9831-nucleotide long non-coding RNA is filed under the name Lotus japonicus. RNAcentral describes it as "long non-coding RNA (LJAP_LNC001365)". The record is from RNAcentral. Lineage: Eukaryota; Viridiplantae; Streptophyta; Magnoliopsida; Fabales; Fabaceae.
ACCCUGCAAGAUUUGAAACACUGGCUAUGGAUCCAAAGAAGAAGGAAGAGAUUAUAAACGACCUUGACGUGUUCAGAGAUGGAAAAGAGUACUAUGCCAAGGUUGGGAAGGCUUGGAAGAGAGGGUAUUUGUUGUAUGGUCCACCAGGAACUGGCAAAUCAACCAUGAUAGCUGCCAUGGCUAAUUUCAUGAACUAUGAUGUGUAUGAUCUUGAAUUGACAGCAGUCAAGGAAAACACUGAGCUGAAAAAAUUGUUGAUUGAAAUAUCCAGCAAAUCAAUCACAGUGAUUGAAGACAUUGACUGCUCUCUUGAUCUUUCAGGCCAAAGGACGAAGGAGAAAAAAGAAAAAGAGAAGAAGGGAAGCGAGGUAACACUAUCUGGGAUGUUGAAUUUUAUUGAUGGGAUUUGGUCAGCAUGUGGGGGAGAGAGGAUCAUCAUUUUCACAACCAACUUUGUGGACAAACUUGAUCCUGCUCUCAUUAGGAGAGGGAGGAUGGACAAGCACAUAGAAAUGUCCUAUUGCAGCUAUGAAGCUUUCAAGGUGCUUGCCAAGAACUACUUGGGUAUUGAUGACGAUUCACAUAGCUUGUUUCCCAUUAUUGAGAAGUUGUUGGGAGAGACCAAUAUGUCACCUGCUGAUGUUGCUGAGAAUCUGAUGCCAAAGACAACCACUGAAGAUUCUGAUACUUCCUUGCAGAAACUGAUUCAUUCUCUUGAGAGAGAUAGAAACAAAAAGAGGUGGAAAUGAAGUGUUUUACAAAUGAGGUGUGUAUGGCGUGAUUGAAGUUUAGUUUUAACUACUUUUCCUUCUUUUUCAAAGUAAUAAAUUGAAUUGUUGCUUAACUACAUUUAAAGAACUAGAAUUGCUGAAUUGUUCUAGUUCUUUUAGGCUAUUAUGUUUUUUUUUUUCCCUUGGAUGUUUAACUCACUUGAGAGAGUGUGUUCUCAAGAUCUCUUUUUAUUUUAAUAAAUUUUCAUUAAAAAAAUAUUUAUAUUCACGUCAAAUUCGUGUUAAAAAAAAAAAGAAAAAAAUGGUUGAGCAUUCACAUCGGUUUUUAGUCUAAUACUUUUCACAUCGGGUUUUAGUCUAACCGAUGUGAAUAGUAUACUUUUCACAUCGGUUUUUUGUCUAACCGAUGUGAAAAGUAUACACAUUUCACAUCGGUUUUUUUGUCUAACCGAUGUGAAAAGUAUACAUUUCACAUCGGUUGGCUGACUGAACCGAUGUGAAAAGUGUACAUUUCACAUCAGUUGGCAGACUGAACCGAUGUGAAAAGUGUACAUUUCACAUCAGUUGGUUGACUUAACCGAACCUUUCACAUCCUUUCACAUCGGUUAUAAACCCGAUGUGAAAAGGUUAGGAGAUACCACAUCAACAUUGUUUACAUCGGAUAAAAACCGAUGUUAAAACUCAAAAAUACCCGAUGUGAAAACUAGUUUUUCUAGUAGUGGUCAUUCUAUUUUAUGAAUGAUGAGUUCUUAAGAUGUUUUGGGCUAACAUGGAAAAGUUGUUUUUCCUCACAACAGUUGACUUGGUGUACAUUAAAAUUUCUAAAAUGUUCAUAAUACAAGAUAAUAUAAUUCAGCAAGUUUAUACUACUAAUUGAAAAAUCAUCAUCAUCAUCACACACGCAAACAACAAAUAAGUAAGGUUUUACUACAGUUAAAAAAAAGGUUUUUACUACAACCAAAUAUCACAUUUGAGUAUUUGGCAGUCACGCUGGAAUGGAUCACAACAAUUUCAAGAGAUUAGAAACUAAAGCCCCUUGAAUAAAAAAAGGUAAAAAAAAAGACAGAAAAAGCUUCAAUUUGAAAAAUGGUUGGAACCUGAUAGACAAAUUGUGAUUACUAAAAAAAAGUUCCUUUGAAAAAAAAAAUUCACCAAGCUUGUGGCAGGCAGCAACGGAGACAGAGAUGCAUAUUCAAUUAAAAUGAAGGGAGUACAAGACACAUGCUUUACCUCGGUGAGAGUCACGAGAAUAGAGGACUAGGCGAUCUUAUGAAGUUAUGAGGAGAGAUCCAUUGACUCCAAAUUUAUAUUAUUCCAAAUCUUGGUCCUCAAUUUUAUUCAAAAGUAAUAAUUGAGAUCAAAAUUUAAAAACUAUCGUGUGACCACUCAUAUUGCAAUUUACUUAUUUAUUUAAGCAGCAUUUAUUGCACUUUGCACUCCUUUGUCAUCUUGACAUUGCAUAUACAUUAUAUAUGUGAGAUGCUCCUAUUUCAGCUGACUAAAUGACUACUCGACCCACCAUCAUCCUUGUCGGUCCAAAUAACUACAUGAUCAAGUGACCAUCAAACUUGUCUGCUGGAAUGAUCAAAUGAGAAUUUUUCACACUUCUAACCAAUUGGCUUAACCACAUUUUCCAAUUACCUCCGUGACUAUUAUAAAUAUAUGUUUGAUGGUAUAUUUGAUCAAAUUGUAAGUUAAUCAUAACACAUAUUGCUCAUUAAUAACUCUUCUAAGCUUUGAGAAUUUAUUCUAAUAUUGAAUUGACUUAAGCGUUGGCAUUGGUAAUUGAUGACUCAGGAUUUAAGGUUAUUAUUCUAUAUACUUUUCACAUAGUUUUGUUUAUUAUUUACGAUGUUUUGGUCAUUUUAAGUCACUUUAAGAUUAUCCCACGCAUUUUACUAUUUUUAUGUGAUUUUUAGUAAAUUUCUAUAUUUUUAUGAUUUUUCUUAAGAUUUUAUUCGGAUUUUUUAUUUUAUUUUAACUUAGUGUCUUUUUCGUAUUUUAUUUUGCUAGUUUUAAUUUGUUUUAUUUCGUAUUCUCAAAUAAAAGGGGCAUAUAUUGAUUUCUAAUUUGUUUUAUUUAGUAUUCUCGGAACAAAAUAAAACUACAAAAAUAAAAUACUAAUUUAAAGUAAAAUUUAUCAACUAAAAAUAAAAUAAAUUAGAUAACUUAAAUCCUAAUAAAAUCUUAUAAAAUCAUAAAAAUAUACAAAAAUACUAAAAACCACAUAAGAAUUAAAAAAUAAAUGGAACAAUCCUAAAGGGACCUAAAAUGACCAAAAUAUCUUAAAUAAUAUAUAAAACUGUGUGAAAAAUAUAUAGGAAAAUAGUCUUAAAUCUCGGGUCAUCAAUAAUGAAGUCUAUGUUAACUUUGACCUAGAAAUAUGACCUAGAGUAAAGGAACUUACGAUUAAAUUAAAAGUCAUUUUCUCUUCUUGGAAAUUUAUGUUAUGAUUCAAAAUUAAAUAUUUGAUUGAAUUUUUAUUUUAUUAAAAUAAGAAGAGUAAUUUUAAAUUUAUUAUUUAUUAAAUACUAUAUUUUAAAGUUAAAGAUAGUAAACUGCAUGGGUGACGGAUUAGUGCACUGACUGACUAUGAGGUGAGAGAUUAAUCUUAUAGAUACCAAUAAUGAGGAAAUAUUGACUAAGAUAAAAAAAAGAAAGUAUGGUAAUUUAAGUUAAGAAAACUUUUUUCUUUCUCAAUAUCUUAUCUUUUAUUUGAUCGAAUUCCUAACUCUCGUGAAUGAAAGAAUUUUAUUGGUCGACAUCUUACCACUUAGUGCACCGAGACUAGGCGAUUGAUUAGUCUCACAACAAUCGGUUGUGGAAAUACCUCGGUUAACAUCGAAAAAAUUUGAUCCAUAUUUUAUCACCUUUAAUUUAUCUUAUAAUUCUAAAUUAAAACACUUUAUUUAUAUAAAAAUAUUUGAUUGAAUUUUUAUUUUAUUAAAAGAAGAAGAAGAAUGUUAAUUUUUUUUUUGAUGUUUCCCCACAACUCCAGCGUCCGGAGAGCUGGAUCAAACCAGAUGCGGGCUGGGUAAAAGCUAAUGUCGAUGGAGCUGUUGGGUCUAAUCUUGCGGCCAGCUGCGGGGGGGUGUUCCGGGACGCAGCAGGGAGAUGGAUAACCGGCUUUAGUCGUAACCAUGGUACUAUGGCAACAGAGAGCGCCUUCCUCACUGAAUUACUCGCGGUGGCAACGGCUGUAGAGCUAGUAAUAGCCUUGGAGAUCCCUCAGGUGAUAGUAGAAUCAGAUUCCAUGGAGGUGGUGAGUUUUCUCUGCUCUUAAGAUAUAUCUUCUCAUCGGUAUGCACAGAUAGCAUCGUCUGUUCUUCACCUUCAAGCAAUUCACGGAAGCUUAGUUUUCCAACAUGCACCAAGAACAGCCAACUACCUGGCGGAUUAUAUUGCCAAAAUUGGUUUGAAUCUCCCGUAUGGGACCCAUAACUUUGAUAGUCGGCUUUUGUACCCAAAUGGUAUAAUUUAUUUUGGAAAUUACAGCUUUGGGGUACUUUUUUUUUUAUUUACCAAACUAGUAUAAAUCGUCACUGUCAGUGGCGAUUCUAUUUUUUUUUUACUUUUUUAAAGAAUCAUCAAUGCUAUUGGCGUUUUUGUUUUUGUUUUUUUUUCGUUUUUUAAAUAAAUCGCCAACCAUGUUGGCGUUUUCUUUUCUUUUUUUUAAAAUUUUUUUUCCCCUUAAAAUCGCCAACACAGUUGGCGUUUUCUUAUUUUUUAUUUUAUUUUAUUUUUCUUAAAAUCGCCAACACAGUUGGCUUUUUCUACUUUUUGUUUUUUUAAUUUUUUUUAAAUAGUAAUUAGAAUGAUAUUUAAUCAAUUUUAAAAGACCAUAUGAAUAUUUUUAUAAAUAUAAAUGAGAAUUAGAGUAAAGCUAAGACAACUAUGUAUAAACAAAAGUCACAAUUUUACCUUGGAAAUUUAAGAAACAACUUAAGAAAUCUUCUAGUAAACAGAAGGAGCUCAAGUGUUCAAUCCAAACAUUUGUAUGUAUUUGUUGUGUAAGAAUAUGCUUAUGAAGGUGCAUAUUUAUAGGGUCUUAAUAUAUUAAAAUAUAAAAUAAAAAGCCAACAUGAUUGGCGAUUUGAAAAAUAUUGGAGGAAAAAACAAAAGGUAGAAAAUGCCAACUGGGUUGGCGAUUUUAAGAAAAAAAUAAAUAAAAGGAACGAUAAGAAAACGCUAACUGUGUUGGCGAUUUUAAAGAAAAAAAAAACGCCAACAUACGAUUUUAAGGAAAAAAAAUUUUAAAAAGAAAGAAAAGAAAACGCCAACAUGGUUGGCGAUUUAUUUAAAAAACGAAAAAAAAACGCCAAUAGCAUUGGCGAUUCUUUAAAAAAGUAAAAAAAAAGAAAUAGAAUCGCCACUGACAGUGGCGAUUUAUACUAGUUUGGUAAAUAAAAAAAAAGUACCCCAAAACUGUAAUUUUCAAAAUAAACUAUACCAUUUAGGUACAAAAACCUUGAUAGUCCGUUUGGUGAGUGUCAUACUCUUCUUAAUAGAGAUAUUGUCAUUAGUCCUAGUCCUAGUCCUAGUCCUAGUACUAGUACUGGUCCUUAGCUAGUCUUGCUUUUCGGGGUUAUCCCCUCCUUGUAACCAAGAAAAAAAAUGGCUUAAUUCCAGUUUGGGUCCCUGAUGUUUCACAAAUGUGCGGUUUGCACCCCCUGUGUUUAAAAUGUGCGGUCAAACUCCCUCAUGUUUCUAAAACAGUUGAUUGAAGCCCUUCCGUCUAUCUCUGUUAGUUGACCAAACGGAAAUGCUGACGUGUCACUUAUUUAAUUCAUAAAAUAUAGGCUACUAAUUGGUGACGGAAAUAAUCCGUCACAAAACCCUUCAGCCAAUACCUUUGUCUUCUUCCUCCUCACACAUUUCAGAAUUAUCACAUUCUUUUCUUUCAAACACGCUGCAACCAGCCACCAAAGGGAAUAAAAACCAGAAACCUAUAUAGACACAGACCGUACCAGAAUGCAGAAUCCAUUUUCCUGCAGAACCCCAUCGAUCCAAACCCCCCAAAAACCAACCCAGAUCCCAGAAACCUGUUCGUUCAUACCCAUAAACUUGUUUGUUCAUCGUUCAGAAUCAGAAACCUGUAAAGAAGCACAACUGCAAAGUAAAUCUAAUUUACUUGAGACCUACAUGUCAAAGGCACACAAAUGAACAGUUCAAGUUCAAAGAUUCUUUGAAUAACUAGUAAAGAUAGUGUCUUUAGGAAAUGAUUUGAGAAAAUUGAAUUCUGGAAGAUAAAGAAGCAAAAAACCAAACUUGCUAAGUUGAAGAUAAUUGAAAAAAUCUCAGCUUUAAAUAUUCACCUCACACUCUCGCAGACUCCCCAGUCCCCAACAACAGAAAAUUUAGAGAAUGGAAACAGAGCAUAGGAAAAUGCUAACCAUGACCAAUAGUCCAAGCCAUUGACUGAAAAUCAAAGAUAUUACCACUUCAGAAUUUUGGUAAGUGCAAAUAAAAUUUCGAGGUAAGAAAAAAAAAAAGAAACUUUCACUUUGAGUUUAGCAGAUCUUGAGUAAAUAGAGAAUACCCAAAUUGAUAUUUUUCUUGGGGAGUUGGGAAGAGAAGAUAGGACAGUUAAUAUCUUUGGUAAAUUAAGAAAAUAAUGAGUAUGAGAGGGAUAGAGAGUACAAAAAUUACUCAGAUGCAGCAAAAAGUAUGAGAUUUACCAGAGGGAAAAUCUUGAGUUAGGAGACAGUGUUACUUCCAGGAUCUGAGCUAUGGAAGCAGUUACCAGCUAAUUCGCCACAUGUGCCUGUGACAUAUCUUUGAGUGUUUUGCAGUUGUGCCACAUGAUUUGAGUGCUUUUCUGGUCUGGGAAGCUUUAAUUAUUUGUUCUGCAUUACCAGUACCUGCGAGAAAGAAGAAGAGGAGAAAAAGAAACAAGAAAUGUGUGAGGAAGAAGACAAAUGUAUUGGCUGAAGGGUUUUGUGACGGAUUAUUUCCGCCACCAAUUAGUAGCCUAUAUAUUAUGAAUUAAAUAAGUGACACGUCAGCAUUUCCGUUUGGUCAACUAAGUGAACUAACAGAGAUAGACGGAAGGGCUUCAAUCAACCGUUUUAGAAACAUGAGGGAGUUUGACCGCACAUUUUAAACACAGGGGAUGCAGAUCGCACAUUUAUGAAACAUCAGGGACCUAAACUGGAAUUAAGCCAAAAAAAAUCAAGCCUUCUCUAAAUGCUACUGUACUAUAAUUAUCUGGUGAUUCGCAAUUAUUAUAUUGCAAAUUUUUCCAAAUCUUAUUCAUUUGCAAAAUUAUACUCUUAGACUUGCAAUUACCUCCUUUAUUUAUAUUCAUUAAGGAAGAUUUAUAAAGUUACAACAUAGUGCCACUAAAAGAGUAAAUUUCGCCAACUUAGGUUGACACAAUUGACCAUAAAUUUCAGAUUGAACUCUUACCUUUUUAUAAAUUGAGGGUUUGAACCAUGUAUCCAAUAAAAUCUCAGUUUGUGGUCUUCCCAACAUGUCACUUAUGUCAAAUUGGGUUAAGCUUGUGCCACGUGGGAUGUGGCGUGGAUCACUGAGUUGAAACAAGUAUAAAUUACAACUUGUUCGGACACAUAAAAUAUUAGACAACAAAAUGAAAUAAGAAUCUCUGCACAUGUUUUGAAAAGUUAUUUGAUGUACAACAAACAAGUUAAAUUAUGGCUUGGUUAAACAAGUUAAAAUUUUGACUUCUUAUUUUUUUUCCUCCUUCCAUUUAUAUUAACUCCAUUUAUUCACACUUCUCCUACACUUCAACACACACAAAAUUAGCCAUCUAAAAUCUCUGCAAUCUUAAACUCUUGUUAAGUUUUUUAGUUCUACCACAAUUGUGAAGUUGUUGCUUUGGUCUAUUACAAUGGUAGAAAAUUUUAAGGCACGUAAAGUCAGAUGUUUGAAGACGAAAAGAAAUCCACUCGACUGAAAUACGGUUUAAGCGUGAACAACUUGAAAAGAAAAGAAUUCAUAUUAGGAGAAGAUACUAUUCAAAUUCUCUCUCACUAUUUGAAUAGAAGUGAAAAUUUGUGUGUGACAAAGUGUGCGACAAAGUGAGUGAUUUGUGUGUGUGAAAAAACUCGUGAGAGGGUGUGGUGUGUGAAAAUGUGUGUGAGAAAGUGUAAGUGAGAGAGUGAAAGGGUGUGGUGAAAUAACUCGUGAGAGGGUGUGGUGUGUGAAAAUGUGUGUGAGAAAGUGUAAGUGAGAGAGUGAAAGGGGCCGUGUGAAAAUGAGAGUGAAAGUGAGUGUGUGAAAAUGUGUGGAGCCAAGCUACCCAUGUGAGCCAAUCAGAUCAAACAAGUCAAAAGAAAAACUUAUUUGACCAUGAGUCCAUGACAAACCUCCUGCCCCACACAGUAUCUCCUCACAUCAACUAAACAUGUCUCAUGUCUCACACAGAUUAUUAUUCUCCUUUAUUUUAUUAUAACAGGUUAAAACUUCAGCAUGUUUGAACAAGUCAAAAAUUUGAAACAUCCGAACAAGUAAUAAUUCAAAAAAGUAAAUUUCAAUAUUUGGAAAUUAAUUACCGUGUUAAAUGAUUUUUUUGGAAACCCAAAUUAAUAGAUAAAGAGUAACGGGCAAGGCAACAACCCAGUACUGCAAAGUCUGUUACAAGGACAUGGAAAACCCAUAGCAAACUCCAAAAGCCAUGUGAAAAUUAAUUACCGCGUUAAAUGAUGACAGCUUUAAUAUACGGUAAUGGCUAAAAAACAAGAUAACAUCAGUAAAAACAGAAAGUAUCCUGGUUCUCUUCAUUUGGUAAGAUUAUGACAUGAAUUGAUCAGCUGCACAUGGAUAGCAAUUGAGAGGUUUGAUUCAAAUAGGAAAUAGAGAUAAAUUAAAUAGCACUUGAAUGCCAUUACCAACCCAAGACACUUGCAAUCUCAGUCGAAUACUAAUAGCGUGGUGUGAAUAAACCAAGGAAAAGAGAUUGAUUUUGGUAUUAGUCUUAUCUCACAGAAAAUGUUUGUUAUUAGUUUUAUCUCAUUGAAAAAGUUUGAUAUUAGUCUUAUUUCAGUGAAAUGAUGUUUAGAUAUAGGUUCUUUAUUUUAGAUUAGUACUAGUAACUUAUAACCAAAAGAAAAAAAAAAAGCUUAGGACUAGUAACUAUUAUGAUAGAGAAAUAUUCUCAUGAGAUUCAAGUAACUCCUUUAUAUAUAGUUAUCACUUAUCACAUCCCCUGAGUUCAUUGAACGAAAAAAACUUCUGAGCAAACAUUGCAGAGUAAGGAGAUGGGGUUUGGAGAAAUAUGGUCCCAACUAGGAUCCAUUAUGGCUAGCAUCAUGUUCGUGUAUGCCAUGUAUGAGCAGUUCUUCCCACCUCAUCUUGACAUCUAUGUUCGAAGGUUCACACACAAAUUCACAGGCAUUUUCUAUCCUUACGUCCAGAUAACUUUCCCUGAGUUCACAGGAGAGCAACUCAAGAGAAAUAAAGCUUACACUGCGAUCAGAACAUACCUCAGUGCAAAAUCAUCAAAAGCAGCAAGAAGGCUUAAAGCUGAGGUGGUGAAAAAUAGGCAGAACCCGCUCAUGCUUAGCAUGGACGACAAUGAAGAGAUCAUGGACGAGUUUGAGGGUGUCAAACUCUGGUGGGCUGCAUACUACACUGUCCCUAAGUCCCAGUCAAUUUCAUGGUACCCUUCUUCAGAUGAGAGGAGGUUCUUAACACUCACUUUCCACAGACGCCACCGGGAGCUCAUCACUACUACUUACAUCCAACAUGUGCUGGAUCAAGGCAAGGCGAUUGCAUCAAGGAACAGACAGCUGAAGCUGUUCACCAACAACCCCAGCGAUGAUUGGAAUGACUGGAAAAACACCAAGUGGAGCCACAUACCCUUUGAGCACCCUGCAAGGUUUGAAACACUGGCAAUGGAUCCAAAGAAGAAGGAGGAGAUUAUAAACGACCUUGAAAUGUUCAAAACAGGAAAAGAGUACUAUGCCAAGGUUGGGAAGCCUUGGAAGAGAGGUUACCUACUUUAUGGUCCACCAGGGACUGGGAAAUCAACCAUGAUAGCUGCCAUAGCUAAUUUCAUGAACUAUGAUGUAUAUGACCUUGAGUUGACAGCAGUCAAAGAGAAUACUGACCUGAAAAGAUUGUUGAUUGAAACCUCCAG